This 73-nucleotide transfer RNA is filed under the name Cylindrospermum stagnale PCC 7417. Its description in RNAcentral is "tRNA-Arg (TCT) (tRNA-Arg-TCT-1-1)". It matches the Rfam family "tRNA". Rfam says of the family: Transfer RNA (tRNA) molecules are approximately 80 nucleotides in length. The record is from Rfam by way of RNAcentral. Lineage: Bacteria; Bacillati; Cyanobacteriota; Cyanophyceae; Nostocales; Nostocaceae.
GGGCGCAUAGCUCAGUGGAUAGAGCAUCCGCCUUCUAAGCGGAUGGUCGCAGGUUCGAACCCUGCUGCGCCCG